GGCUCGGGACCUCGGGUCCCCGGCCGGUGGCUGCGUGGGAAGCGGCUCAACUCGGUGCACUUGUUCACUCUUUCUUCAUUGGAGGAGGAGCCAGUGUUGCAACCUUCAUGUUCCUUGCUGGAGGCAAAACAGUGAUUUUCUGCAGCAGGCGAAAUGUCCAGGGCCUGCCAGUUUUACGAGUACUGCAGCCGAUGGUUUCAGAACCCCGGAGGAGUAUCAAGGAGGUAUUCUAAAGGGAGCCUCUCAAGUUUCAAAACCAGAAGUUACUGGAACUCUGGGCUUUCCUCCUUUGAGGCCACUUUUGCUACCAUCCCGGAAUUACUGGCGAGAGAUAUUCAUUGGCGGCCACUUGCCAGGAUGCAGGAAGACGUUAGAAAUCCCAGGAUGCUCUGGUGAUCCUUCUGGACUAGAGACCCCCAGCUUCCCUGCUGGAUGGCCUCCCUCUCACCAGCCUCGUCCGUGUGAAACUCAAAUGUUUCCCUGCUGAAUCUGAUUAGAUUAGAUUGAAGUUAAAGGUCUUUGCUCCUGCUGAUCUUACUGGUUUUGGGAGUAGUAGUUCAAUAAAUCUUUACAGUGUGUUUGAAUCCCA
Molecule: long non-coding RNA, 589 nt
Filed under: Vulpes vulpes (red fox)
Lineage: Eukaryota; Metazoa; Chordata; Mammalia; Carnivora; Canidae
Description: lncRNA (ENSVVUG00000022067.1)
Source: RNAcentral